CCCUUAGAUGUUCUGGGCCGCACGCGCGCUACACUGAUGCAUUCAACAAGCCUAGCCUUGACCGCGAGGUCCGGGUAAUCUUUGAAACUGCAUCGUGAUGGGGCUAGAUUAUUGCAAUUAUUAAUCUUCAACGAGGAAUGCCUAGUAAGCGUGAUUCAUCAAAUCGCGUUGAUUACGUCCCUGCCCUUUGUACACACCGCCCGUCGCUCCUACCGAUUGAAUGUGUUGGUGAGGAGCUCGGAUUGGCAGCAGUUGGUGGUUCGCCACCGGCUAUUGCUGAGAAGUCCUCCAAACCGCCCCAUUUAGAGGAAGGAGAAGUCGUAACA
This 326-nucleotide ribosomal RNA is filed under the name uncultured eukaryote. Its description in RNAcentral is "partial 18S ribosomal RNA". It matches the Rfam family "Eukaryotic small subunit ribosomal RNA", at positions 1470 to 1796 of the family's 1831-position model. The record is from RNAcentral.